AUUGAACGCUGGCGGCAUGCCUUACACAUGCAAGUCGAACGGCAACGGGCCUUCGGUUGCCGUCGGGUUGCGGAGGGGCGGGUAAUACAUCGAUACAUGCGCGUCUGCCGGGGCGUACGGGGCAACAGAGUUGAUCAUACCCCAAUAGCGCAUAGGAUCUACGCGGGAGAGCGGAAGACCUCAAGACCUCGCACCGUUGGAUGAGACGAUGUCGGAUUAGCUAGUUGGCGGGGUAAUAGCCCACCAAGCCGACGAUCGGUAGCUGGUCUGAGAGGAUGAUCAGCCACACUGGGACUGAGACACGGCCCAGACUCCUACGGGAGGCAGCAGUGGGGAAUAUUGGACAAUGGGCGCAAGCCUGAUCCAGCCAUACCGCGUGGGUGAUGAAGGCCUUCGGGUUGUAAAGCGCUUUUGUUGGGAACGAAAACUUUCCUGUUAAUACACUGGGAGCAUGACGGUACCCAAAGAAUAAGCACCGGCUAACUUCGUG
This 490-nucleotide ribosomal RNA is filed under the name uncultured bacterium. RNAcentral's name for it is "partial 16S ribosomal RNA". It matches the Rfam family "Bacterial small subunit ribosomal RNA", at positions 30 to 507 of the family's 1533-position model. The record is from RNAcentral.